Molecule: small nuclear RNA, 107 nt
Organism: Cricetulus griseus (Chinese hamster)
Lineage: Eukaryota; Metazoa; Chordata; Mammalia; Rodentia; Cricetidae
Source: Ensembl
GUGCCUACUUCGGCAGCCCAUAUACUAAAAUCGGGAUGAUACAGAGAAGAUUAGCAUCAUCCCUGCACAAGGAUGACAUGCAAAUUCAAAAAUGCUUCCAUAUUAAA